Transfer RNA from Felis catus (domestic cat), 85 nucleotides. It matches the Rfam family "tRNA". From Rfam's summary of the family: Transfer RNA (tRNA) molecules are approximately 80 nucleotides in length. Their secondary structure includes four short double-helical elements and three loops (D, anti-codon, and T loops). The record is from Rfam. Lineage: Eukaryota; Metazoa; Chordata; Mammalia; Carnivora; Felidae.
GCCUGGGUGGCUCAGUCGGUAAAGUGUCUGACUCUGGCUCAGGUCAUGAUCUCACGGUUUGUGAGUUCAAGCCCCAUGUCAGGCU